Gallus gallus (chicken) is the source of this 8517-nucleotide long non-coding RNA. The record is from Ensembl. NCBI's taxonomy places the organism in Eukaryota, Metazoa, Chordata, Aves, Galliformes, Phasianidae.
GUACGAACCGGGUCUGCGACGUCGCUCCUGGCACUCGCCGGCUGAGCGUCUCAGGCUCGGAAUCUACUCGACACGGUUACUAAGCGUGCAAAUGUAUUUAACAAUGUGGCUGCAAGAGGAGAAGAGCAAGAGGAAGAUUUCAGGGCAGUGUAUGAAGGAACUUCAGAUAUGGACAGAAGAGAGGAUAAUUGCGUGUAUGCUCAUAGAAGAAGGCUGAUUAGUGUCCUUCCUCAAGAAAUGACACAAGUUUUAAGUCCAACAUCAGCAAUGAGACAAGGCCUGGGUCUUCUCCAUUUCAGACACCUUCUUCCAGAGUCAUUGAGGGAAGAGUCAUCCAGAAGCCCCAUGUCUGGCUGAGUGGGACAGUGCUGAAAAGGAGUCCCCUGGGAACCCUUCACAUACUGCGUUCUGGAAGUCUUGAAAAGGUGAAGAACAAGUACUGUGGGGAUUUAACCAGACCUGAGAUGUACAAUGAAGAAUUCCGUCAAACCUAAGAAGACUGCAUCCCGAAGGAGUUGAAUCUGCAAAGAUGCUACUUCCCUCAGCAGGAGCUGGGAACUUGUGCAUUGCUCACAGAUAAGUUGAAACCCUGACCAAAAAAAAAAAAAAAAAAAAAAAAAAAAAAAAAAAAAAAAAAAAAAAAAUUGUCAUCAACGGAAAAUCAGUUUUGGUAUUACUGAAAAGAUGGUUAUUCCACCAUCAAUACUAUGCAUGGUGUAGCACGUACAUGUUUCUUUGUUGCUGAGUGGUACAAACUAUGUAAGGCCUGAUCUAGUACAAUACUGCAGUUUAAUUCUGUGUUUGUAGAGAUUACAUUUUUUAUAUCGAGACAUUUAGGCGUUUACUUGACGUGGAUGUUUUCCAAAAGCUAAGAUGAAAUAAUGAAAAAUGAUUUUCCCAAUCUAUUGCAACUGUUGUAAGGAAUGUAACAGCUGGUGAUCUACAGUUUAGUGACAGAUGAACAGACUGAUCUAUUCACCUGCAGAGUGUAGAUAAAAAAUAAUAAGAAAGGGAGAAUUUAAAUAGUAAAUAAAAGGGAGAAGGUGAAAGAUGUGCAACAACAUAUUCUUGUGUAAUUAAGUUAGAAAUUUUGAUCAGCGAUUAAAAUAAAAGCUGAUGUUGAAGGAGUUAGAGCAAAAAUUUGGUAAAAUGAGCUGAGACUACAGUUGGUAAGAGAGGAAAUCAAUUUGUGCACUUCUUAUGAGUCAUUUCCUUGCAAACUUACUUGCAGAUAAAAGUUGUUUUAAAAUACCAAUAUGGAUAUAUAGGCCGUGUUUUUGUGUUUUUGAUUUUGGAAUAGAGUCUUAAUCUUCUGGGCAUAUGUGGAUGGAAUAAAACACAAACACCUGAAAUUAGGUCUGAAGGGGGAUAAGAUAUCCACAUGAAUUUUGCCAGUGACCUUCUUUCAUGUAAACCUGCUGCUGACCAGGGUGAAGUGACAAACAUGCCCCCUUUAUUGAAUCUUGAAGCCGGGGGAGAGAUAAAACACACACCAAAUAAAUAAAUAAAUCUUAUUUCAGAAGGUAUUCUAACUACUUUCUCUCGGGUGUGAAUUUUAAGGAAUGAUUAUGUAGCCUUUCACACUGGAGUUUUAUAUCUUGGACUCAAGUUGAAUUCCCUUACUCUGGUUUGGACAUUUUUCAUCCUCUCUGUUAAACCUAUGCUUUGAAACAACAAAGACUGAUAGGAUGAAUCUUGGCUGUCAGUGUGCAAAAAGGGGACACUUAGGAUAUAAUUAUUCUGCUAUUUCUUUGAAAAUACUUUCCUAGUUACUUGAAGGAUAUAGCUUCCAAAAUUAUUGUGAUUCUCAUUUUCAUUACAAAACCAUCACCACCACCACCAAACAAUCCCAAGAGGAACAAAAGGGAAGUAUAAACUAUUCCCUAUUUAAUAUGCAACACAAUUAGAAAAGCAUGUGCCAUAUGGCUUUGCUUUCCUUCAGAGAAGUUCUGUGGUGAAGCAGACUAGAGCUUGCUUUCUUUCCAAGAUGAUAUCAAACUGUAAUUCUUCCCUAUCCAAACUUUCUUUGCAUUAUACUGAUAUAAACAUUUUCUAAAUACUGAACAGGUCAUAUUUGUCAUUCACUGAGUUUUCUGGGCCUGAGCCAAUGUCUCUGCAGUGAUGCAAGUAUAUCCUUCCCUAGCUGCAUGUUACGUGCUCUGCAUAAAAAACUGACAAAAAAGAUACUGCAUGCAGUUAUACUAUAUAUUUUUUCUGUCUCUGCUCAGAUAUGUUCAGAAGACUGCUCAAAGGCAAUAAGCACUCAGUGAGAAACCUUUUCAUGCCAAAUUUGUGCCCUCCAGCCCAGCUGUUUCAGUUGUAAAUGUCUUUGGAAGAAGUUCACAACAGCAACCAUUUUCAUGAAGAAAAGGAACUCGGUCAGACUGUCCUUGCAGAGGAGUUUGUUCUGGAGGAAAGCUGCCUGCCACCUGCCUUCCAAGGAACUGCCAGCUUUACCUGGAGAAAAUAGCCCAUCUGCUAAGUUAUACAGCUCUUUCAUUCUUCAGCCCAGGUUACUGGUGAAGAUUUUAUAUGUACAGCCUUGUUUUUAAUACUUCCAGCUGUUCAUUUUUCCUGUGAAAGGAAAUCCCUGGAUAGAGACACAACAAUCCUGAAGACUAAAUCUGACAUGGUGGGCUGGAUGACUAAAGAGGACAAGUAGCAUUUGCAUAUUUUCAAUCCAGGUGCCUGAUUCAAAUGCUCCACUGAAAGCCAUUGCUCCCGGUGGGUUUUGUAGCAGCCUUCUGGAAAUGGAACUGGGACUUUUGGUGUUAUAGUGUAAUGAUUCUGAAGAUAUUUGGUCAGCCUUCUGAGGUCUGCAGGAGGUAAUCAUUCAAUAACGGUGCUAUCAAUAAUACUUAUGAAAAAUCAAGCUUAAUGGUUGUCGGAUGGUGUUUUAUAACACUAGCAGAUAAAAACAGAAGUGCGUGCUGUGCAGGCUUCUUGAAGAAGGUACUUGAAGAAGGCUUCCAGUAUGGAAGAAGUUGAAAAUGGACAUGAGAGAGAAUAGGAGGAAAUGCAGUAUGGUACUUUCAGAAGUAAUCGGUCAGGAGAUAAUUAUUGCAAACAUAGAUACUUAGUGGGAGGAAACUGCGCAGAAGGCAGAAAUGACUGAAAUGACGUCGAGAUGACAACACAUUUAAAAAUGAGGAAUAUUUUGGCUAAGAAAUUAUUUUUAGGAAUUGAGGAGUGAGUGACCGGCUGUUUUGCUGAGCUGCUUGCCAGAAGUGCUUAAAGGACUGGCACAGUUACCUCCCAUGAACCUUCUCUUCUAUCAAGUCACAGCUGAGGAUGGUGGGGAGCACAGAAUUGCCUUCCCUCUCCCAGGAACGAGGACCAGGACAUAAAUUGCCAGACACUGAUCACAGACAAAGGGCCAACAUUUUCUGAAGGACCUCAUCCAAUGGACACCGUGAGUCUUCAGUGAGCUCUGCAUCAGGCCUCUAUCAUGCUCCAGCUUAUUUCACAGGACCUAUGGCAGACCCAAGUCCUCGGCUUCCCAACCUCAGCUUUCUCAAACAAAAAUAAAUGAAGAUGGGUUACCCAAGCAAUGGUUGAGAAGAUAAUGGAAAUAGGGAAGAAUCUCAGAAAAGUGGAAAACUCAGUUGUCACCCUGAUUAUGGAUGGAGAAGAACCUGUGAAGUUCAGGCUGAAAAAUGGAUGGAGUGUCCAAGAUGGGUGCCUUUAAAACAGAAGACAAAGCAACAAGAGGAGAAACCCCAAAUUGUCACCAGUCUCUGCAAAUGGAUUUCAACUAUAAGCAGACACGUUCUUGAACUCAUAUCAGAGGAUUUGUUAAAUCCUGAUACUUCCAUGAAUUCAAACAGGAAACAAAGUCUGUGCGACACAGAUGUAAUCAAAUGGAUGAAACCUCAGUUAUGAAACCAACAAAGAUGGAGUCUUAGGAGCAAAGAGUAUCUUCCCUUUUAUCUGAGAUAAAAUCUGUCUCAGGUUCUGCAAUUAAGUGCUCAGCUCCACCUGCUCCUUCUGCCUUUUCCUGCAUCCUGACCACUUCAUUUAAAGCUCAUGAUUCCCAGCAGAGAACUUAAGAAAACUCUCUUUGCUAAGAGAAUGGAAGAAUGGAGAGCAGAAGCCCAUGGUGUCCUGAGAAAGUGACCUGCUGGGGACAGAAAAUGUGGUGGAGGACCUUGAAAGCAAAAUCAUGAAGGGAAAUGUGCUUUGUCCCAGUGGCAGAAGUCACAACCCAGCCUCUUCUGUUACUGAAUUUAUUGGACUCAGUGCAGCUGCCACAUAACCAGGUGAAUUUUGGGAUCUCAAAAGGAUAACUACCAGUUUUAAGAGCAGCUGGAGGAGCGAAUGCUUCAUUCUGAAGAUGACAACCAGGAGGCCUGGAGUGCACUAAAGCAACCACCAGCAGUGCCUGGGAGAGCAGCAUACUGUCAGUGUGAGAAGGUCAGAUGCCGGGGCAUGAUUUUCUGGGGCUUCACAUCCACAAGAUGGUGUUACAGCUUCGCUGGACAGGCAGAGGAUACAGCUUUGAGAAAAAAGAAGGUGCAGCAACACACAGUUGUUUUGGCUCCUCUAUCCCUGGUUUGCUGUCAGUGUGAUGAGAGUGCAAGAAUCCUCCUUAAAGGUUCUAAAAUGGACUCAGUAUGAUGGAUGGAAAGCACCUUCAUCUGAUGAUGCUGAAGGAGACUGUGGAUUCCAGCUGCAAGCCAAUCCUGUGGUUUGCAGUUCAGCGAGAAUUUGGUUCACAUGCCACAUUCAGCGGCCAAGAGAACUAAAACAGACAUUUUUUCCCCUGAUUCAUAACUUCUUGAUUCUCUGAGUGGAUACCAUCCCCUGUGUUAGAAGGUCUGUUUGCAUGACCUAAGAAAAAUCCAGAAAAAAAAAAAAAAAAAAAACGAAACACAAAACAACAGUGACAUCAUGAAGAGGUAUUUCAUUUUGUCAUAAAAUCCACUGAAAGCUGGGAUUUCUUUUCAAGUAUUUACAAGAGACUAUGAAUCCUUCACCUCUCUGGUGCAUAAUUUGUGUUCCAGUCUCUGAGUUCUUCUAAGUAAGAGAUACCUCUGUUCUGUACAUCCUAUAUCUGCAGUCACUUGCAGGAACUUAUUAACCAGCUAUGCAGUAGAGCUUGCAAUGUAUUUUCUUUCUGUACUGUGGAAGCCAUCAGUUUUCAAACUCCUGUAAGACCAGAAGAGCACUCACUGUGGCAGCAUAAAACACAAAGGUCUGGACUGCCUACUCUGGGAGAUCAGUGCCUUCCAUUUCUGUCAGGAUUUCUUUCCAGGGCUGAGGUGUCACCUCUGAAUUAAGUUCACAAAGGACAAACCAAUUCUGAACAUACUUCUAUAAAUCCUCGUGGGACACAGUAUGGGGGCCCUUCCAGGAUGUGACCUUUAGAUAUUGACAGAGGAGGUGUAUAUGCGUGUAUUCUCAUAUGAUGGCAGCAGAGGGGCAGACUGACGGAAUCCAUCGGAAGCAAGGGUGUGCCACUGAAUUCCUCCAUGCAAGAAAAAAUGCCACCCAUUGACACUGAUCAAUGCUUGCUGAAUGUUUCUGAAGACCAACCUGUGGGUGUGAGCACAAUGAGGUGGCUUUGGGAUGAGGAGGAGACAGAUGUGAGAGCACAUGUGAAGGCUGGCACUUGCUGUGGGACAAGGAGUCACAGGCAGUCUGCGGUGCUGCUGGUAUUAAACAAGGAACCACUGAAAAACAGUAAAUUUAAAACCAUCAAAAAGCUUCAAGAUUCUUCUUGGAUGAGAUCCUUGUUAUCUUGGAUGUGUAAAUCCUACUGCAACUCAGUGACAGUCAAACUUACUUGUUCGCACCUUCUUUAAAGCUAUGGAAAACUUUGCUUGCUACAGAAAUUACGAAGUUAAAUAUACCUUCAGAUUUCUGUGGAUAUAAACCAUUUCUCCCUGAAUUUUGUUGGCCAGAUUGAAUUUCUCUUUUUUUUUAGGGAAAUAUGCAUCAUUUGGUAUUAACUUAUUAGGUGGUGGUACUUGGUAAGUAAAUGUAUUUUUAAAAUUUUACAGAAUAUUUCUUUCAAAAUAGCUGUAAGAUAUUGAAAUAACUAUUUUAUAACACCUCCUAUCAUGAUUGAAUGGAACAAAAUAAUGUCUGAUAUUGUCUAUCUGAGUAACUUCAUCCUUCUUCCAAAUUUGCUGAAUGAUCAUUUACUGUUUCCCAUUUCAGAUGAUCGAACAUUUCAUUGAUGAAGCUCAUAAAAAACUUAUUCAAAACCAUACUGAAAUUCAAUGACAUAUCUGAAAAUUAAAUGUUUUUUGUGCACGGACCAACCAUAGGUUAUAUCAGCAAGAUCCUUAUGUGAUCAAUUAGUGCUCCAAAGACAAACCUCUCUCCAGGAGUAAAAUAUGAGCCCCAGUCCUGGAGGGGAUUAACCCUCAGUUCGAGAAUAGUUAUUCAUUCCUGUAAUUGAAUACAAAAGACAUAGGGAUUGAUUUUCACCUAUACCCAAAUUCAUGGCUCCUGGGAGGGUAUGAGCUGCUGACAAAUAAUUUCAGCUUCAGCCAUUGAUUAUGCUUCUAUAGUGAACAUUACAUAUACAGUAAGGUUGAUAUAAUAUAUAUUGCUGGAGUAAUAUAAUAUAAGUACUCCCCAUUUCUUAACCUAUCUUUCACUACCCUUAAGCUGUGCCGUGCACAGGAGAUGUAGAAUUCGGCUUCCUAGGAAGGAAAUGGCCAUGAAGCAGAAAAAUGAAUUCACCCUCAUUGUAUUGUAGUGAUGUGGUGAAGAUAAUCACUGCAGCUUUAUUCCAUUUAUUUUGAAAGAGAAAGCCUUUGCCUUUUCAAACUGCCUUGACCAUAUCACCACUCAUCUAUUUGCAAUGAAAAUCUGACAUCAGAGUACAGAAUUAUAGCUGGAGAAAUUGUCUUCUCAUUUCAUAUUUACCUUGUUUCCUCUCCUGAGUCACUGGAAAUGCAGCGACCUAGGUCCGUGCUUUUACACUUUUUUUUACUAUAUAUACACACGUAGAUAAAAAAAUUAGUGUGUGUGUACUGCCAAACUCUUCAGCUCACUACUCAUCUUCCCAGGUGUCUUCACACACCGUAAUUUCUGGUGUUUAAAAUUGGUAGACUGCAAAAAGUAGCACUCCUGCGUUCCCUCUCAUUCAUAUUGUGAAUAUUCAGUUCUCCAAGAAUUUUGCUGCUGGUGUCUGACCAGCCAAGCCCAUAUCAGAAUCGGCCACAGUCUAAUCAUAGUUUUUACCAAUUAAAACUUGUGUGCUAUAAUUUGUUUUUGUUUGUUUGUUUGUUUGUUUUGAUAACCUAAAGCAUAUUCUACUGUUUGCUGUUAAAAUAAAAUCCUUUCUGUUUACCUCCUCAUGGCUCACUGAAAAAAAUAUAUGCUUACAAUUGCAGCUUUCAAAAUGUUUUUUAUUUCUUCAGAUUUCUACUACAAAGCUUCAAUGUAAUCAAUAAUUCUAACUAGCUAUCUGACAGAGUACUUAACUUUAUUUUUCCUAAUAAAAACAAAUAGUUGGAGAAGAAUGUGUCCAAAGCCAUUUUUUUCCAUUCCUUUCUCAUGGCUUGCCUCUUGUCUUCUGUAUAAGGAAUUUUAGCAUUUCAAAUUUUAAGCUGAAGAUAAAUCCUUCUUUUUGAAGAAGUGUUUCUCACCAAGAGAGCCUUUUUUUUUUUUAAAGUAAGGAUAGCAAAUCCAGCCUGAUAGAACAAACACCUGAAGACAUUUUCUGUACAAUAAUAUCUCUUUAACAGAAUUAAAAUUCUAGAGAUUUAAUUCUUUGCAGACUUAACUCAACUGAAGGAAUAAGAAAUGCUGUGAUAAAACAAUAUGAUUACUUCAGUCUCCAUGUAGUAUAAAGUACGAUUCUACAGGAUUUCUUCAGUAGCCCAUGUCCAUAGUGAUCUUAAUUUUUGCUUUGUCAGAAGAGCUCUAUGAUAGGUUAAUUCUUCAGAAAUACUUAUCGUCCAUUACAUCAGAUUUCAUUUAUUUCUCCACUAUGAAAUGCAAUUUUUGGAAUUAUUAUUCUUUUUAUUAUUGUUGCUAUUACAGAACUUCCAGUGUUGGACAAAUUUACUGCUGGUACCUUCCUGUUUUCAUCCCUUUUCUUCCAAAUCCAGUGCCUAACCAAUUGAUUGUUUACUUGGAUAAACAAUUUGUUUUCCCUAAUGAAAAAAGAUAAGACUUCAUUGCCUAUUUUGUGUGGAACUGGGGCUCCUCUAGCUUCUGCAUUUUUUCCUAUUACAUCAUAAGUCCUACUUCUAGACAGAAAUAAGAAUGAGAGAUUGCAGCCUGUAGAGCUGCUACUUAUAUAGCUGCUAGAGUUACUAUCUUAGCAUGCUCAAACAUAUUCCUUAUCUGCUUCUUUUUCACUGUUCUUUUCUGAUUAAUGGUGGAUUUCCUGAUAUGUUAGGAUAUUACUGUCCUAUCUGCAGAAAUAUUGUCUCUCAUUUGGAGGAUGGUGGGAUUUUUUUCAACUUAAAUUUUUACUUUGUGCAUUGUAAUACUAAUUUCAGUUCCUAAUUUUCCAGUAAGGCAAUUAGGACACUAAAAUUUCCCAAUCACGGA